This 460-nucleotide ribosomal RNA is filed under the name uncultured bacterium. RNAcentral describes it as "partial 16S ribosomal RNA". It matches the Rfam family "Bacterial small subunit ribosomal RNA", at positions 338 to 795 of the family's 1533-position model. The record is from RNAcentral.
CCUACGGGUGACAGCAGUGAGGAAUAUUGGUCAAUGGACGAGAGUCUGAACCAGCCAAGUAGCGUGAAGGAUGACUGCCCUAUGGGUUGUAAACUUCUUUUAUGUGGGAAUAAAAUGUUCCACGUGUGGGAUUUUGUAUGUACCAUAUGAAUAAGGAUCGGCUAACUCCGUGCCAGCAGCCGCGGUAAUACGGAGGAUCCGAGCGUUAUCCGGAUUUAUUGGGUUUAAAGGGAGCGUAGGUGGAUUGUUAAGUCAGUUGUGAAAGUUUGCGGCUCAACCGUAAAAUUGCAGUUGAAACUGGCAGUCUUGAGUACAGUAGAGGUGGGCGGAAUUCGUGGUGUAGCGGUGAAAUGCUUAGAUAUCACGAAGAACUCCGAUUGCGAAGGCAGUUCACUGGACUGCAACUGACACUGAGGCUCGAAAGUGUGGGUAUCAAACAGGAUUAGAUACCCUGGUAGUC